This 253-nucleotide ribosomal RNA is filed under the name uncultured bacterium. RNAcentral's name for it is "partial 16S ribosomal RNA". It matches the Rfam family "Bacterial small subunit ribosomal RNA", at positions 524 to 776 of the family's 1533-position model. The record is from RNAcentral.
CACGUAGGGGGCAAGCGUUGUCCGGAUUCACUGGGCGUAAAGCGCACGCAGGCGGUUCUGCAAGUCGGACGUGAAAUCCCGCGGCUCAACCGUGGAAUUGCGUUCGAUACUGCAGGGCUUGAGCACGGGAGAGGAAGGUGGAAUUCCCGGUGUAGCGGUGAAAUGCGCAGAUAUCGGGAGGAACACCAGUGGCGAAGGCGGCCUUCUGGCCCGUUGCUGACGCUCAGGUGCGAAAGCCAGGGGAGCAAACAGG